RNAcentral lists this long non-coding RNA (1422 nucleotides) under Homo sapiens (human). RNAcentral describes it as "novel transcript". The record is from RNAcentral. Lineage: Eukaryota; Metazoa; Chordata; Mammalia; Primates; Hominidae.
UCUGCUCUUGUCAGACAAUUAAGGGGUCUUUGAAUACUUCAGCUCUAAUAAUUUCCUUCCUAACAUACAUAUUGCAGUGCUUAUCUAAUUUUAAAUAUCCUUUUGUUUCAACACCUAAUUUUCUAUUUUGAUCUAUCUGUAUGUUUACAAUAUAUUUUGCUCUGUGUUCAUUCUUUGAUUUCAGAACUUCAAUCUUUCUGAAGCGUGUUUUCAGUUUCGUUUGAGUUUCUUUAGUGGAAUUCUGCUGGUGGUGUUUUGUUUUUUGUCUCUAAAUAUGUUAUUUAGCCAUAGGUUGAUGAAUGUUUUUCUUGGUUGAGAAUUUCAGAAUGGCAUUAUUAUUCUUAACAAAUAAUAUUGUUUAUUUUACCUUUCAUGCUUUCAGAUUUCAAUAUGAUUAAAGGAGUGAGGACACAGCGAAAGUGAGACAAGGAAAAGAGAACAAAAUAAAACAGGAAAGAUAGAAAAGCCAAUACCACACGUGUUAAGAGUAACAAGCUCCCGUGCUGCUAGAGAAAGUCCUCAGCUAGAAACUGGUGCAAAUUCUGGAGAUGAGACCUUGUAGAGUGUUAAGAAUGGUUUUCUUCCCAGCAGCUACAGAUGAUCAAGAAGGACUGCAGAAAGGAGGAAACAGAAACAAACAGCACACCUCUUGGUUUAUUUGUAUUCAUUUCAUCAGUUUCAAGGAAAAUAUGUUGGGAGUUCCUCGCAUAGAGAAUGUCACAAAGACAUGUUUUCAAUAGUAGUGCUAUCCCUAGGGCAGAGAAGACCCAGAGAAAGCCCAAGUGGCUGCUGGAACACAGUCAGACACCGUGCCACCUGUCCACACUCCUUGGCUCUGCCAUCAUGCUGAAGAUCGCUUUAAAGGACUGGCUUCCCUCCCCCCAAAAUGAAUAGAGCACAGACUGAGAAACUGAAUGUGGGAGACAGCAGUGGAUUAUGCUGUUCUCAGGGGUCACCUCAGGUUUGGAAGCAUUCUUUCAAAUUAACCCAUCUCAGGCCAUCUGCAGAGAAGAAAGGUGGUACCUAACUUUUUUCUUGUCAGCAUUUGGUAGGGGUGUUUUAUUGACCAAAUAUGUUCCCACAACCUAGUUUUUUGUGAGUAACUAAAUAUAGUAGAGUUUUAAAUUUUAUCAUCAAAAUCUAUAGACAAUUUUUGAUGAAAAUAGACUCCAUCUCUAUGUCCUGCUUUUCUUCUUCUUAUUAAUUACAUUGCUGUAUAAAAGAACAAGACUUCAGAAUCAAGAAUAUCUUGUCUCUUGGCAUUGAAUUUAUACAAGGUGCUCUUUCUUUAAUGCUGUCUCAAAGGACAUAUUUUUACUCAUUAAAAAGGAAGAUCGGAAUCUAGUUGUAUGCGCUGCUCCAACAUAUUAAUAAUUAAAAUUAGGAGGUAAAUGUGGUCAAAACUAUAGAAAGACUGAGAUG